AAGACCUUGCGCUUUUGGAGCGGCCGAUGCCUGAUUAGCUAGUUGGUGGGGUAAUGGCCUACCAAAGCUUCGAUCAGUAGCUGGUCUGAGAGGACGGCCAGCCACACUGGGACUGAGACACGGCCCAGACUCCUACGGGAGGCAGCAGUGGGGAAUUUUGGACAAUGGGCGCAAGCCUGAUCCAGCCAUGCCGCGUGAGUGAAGAAGGCCUUCGGGUUGUAAAGCUCUUUCAGCCGGGAAGAAAAGGUUGCGAUUAAUYAUCGCAAUUUAUGACGGUACCGGAAGAAGAAGCACCGGCUAACUACGUGCCAGCAGCCGCGGUAAUACGUAGGGUGCGAGCGUUAAUCGGAAUUACUGGGCGUAAAGGGUGCGCAGGCGGUUURGUAAGUCAGAUGUGAAAUCCCCGGGCUUAACCUGGGAACU
RNAcentral lists this ribosomal RNA (423 nucleotides) under uncultured bacterium. RNAcentral's name for it is "bacterial SSU rRNA". It matches the Rfam family "Bacterial small subunit ribosomal RNA", at positions 207 to 622 of the family's 1533-position model. The record is from RNAcentral.